Molecule: long non-coding RNA, 609 nt
Organism: Fundulus heteroclitus (mummichog)
Lineage: Eukaryota; Metazoa; Chordata; Actinopteri; Cyprinodontiformes; Fundulidae
Exons: 3
Source: RefSeq, a predicted model, not a curated record
UCAAAAAAAAAAAGGAAAGUAAAAAUACUUUGUGCACAUGUGUGUGCAUAUCCAGGUGCAGUCUAAAUCAGUACCUGUGAAUACACUGCCUGUGUUUCCUGAAAUUGCUUUGUGAUCUUACGGGUCAGCAGAUUAAAGAGGAUAGGAGGGGGAAAAGACAAAGAGUAAGAGAGAUGUUUGUGUGUGUCUGUUUGCUCCUGUUUAGGCACCAGAGUGAGGACCAUUUUUCUGAUUUCACCAUCAAAAUGAGGACCAUUUGCACCAAAGUGAGGACAUUUUGUUGGUCCUCACUGUUUUUGCUAACGGUUACUCCUAAGUACUGGAUUGUGCUCCAGUCCGGUUCCCGUUUCCAGAGUUAUCUCAUACCAAUUAAAUUUCCUUGGGCUGAACCUCCUGGCUGGCAGCGUGUGGUUUCCUGUUUUCUUGACUCGCCUGUGGCUGAACCCUGGUCACCCUCCAACGUGCUCACCCUCCAUCAAGUUCAGACUCACCUCUCUCCUGCUGUACCAGACUCUCAGCCCCCACUCAUUCCUUCCUGGCACUUACCAUCACAUCUCAAUUGAAGACCCGUUCCGUGUUCCCAGUUCCGGAUUCCAGAUUCAUCACUCA